Molecule: long non-coding RNA, 925 nt
Filed under: Citrus sinensis (sweet orange)
Lineage: Eukaryota; Viridiplantae; Streptophyta; Magnoliopsida; Sapindales; Rutaceae
Description: long non-coding RNA (CSIN_LNC004571)
Source: RNAcentral
GCUCUCUCUCUUCUCUACCGUCUCUGUUCUCUCGAAUUGUAUAGGUAAUGGCAAAUUUCCGUGAGUUGAUUUUUAAUUUUUGAAAAUCCAGUUGAUAUUGUGAGCUUAAUUACACUUGGAUUGAUGUUGUAGUCGAAUUGUAUAGGUAAUGGCAAAUUUCCGUGAGUUGAUUUUUAAUUUUUGAAAAUCCAGUUGAUAUUGUGAGCUUAAUUACACUUGGAUUGAUGUUGUAGUCGAAUUGUAUAGGUAAUGGCAAAUUUCCGUGAGUUGAUUUUUAAUUUUUGAAAAUCCAGUUGAUAUUGUGAGCAAAUGAGACAAUUAUUUUCAAUAGUCUUAGGAGAUGGCCUUGUGCUGGAGAUGGGAUUUUGAUAGCCUUAAGAGAUGGUCUUGUGCUGGAGAUGUCAUUUUGAUAGUUAUUUACAUGCAGUUUCUUGGUUACAAUUGGCAAUCCGUUAUAUCCUUUGAACUUGACUACUACAAAUAUUCCAAUUGAUGGAUGAGUUGAUUAUUCUUGUGUUCCUCUUAGACAUUUUUGAAAUGAGUGGCAAACAGACCAUAUUUUUCUUCUUUUUGUUUUCUUUGUAAUUGAAAUUGAAUAAUUUUAUUUGAGCUGAAUGAAAUUAGUGUAGACUUUUUGUUGUACUUUUGAGAUGAAUGCAGUAAGAUGUAUUUCUUUUUUUUUGGGGGAGAAAAAAAGAAAAUUAGACCUAGCACAUACUUAUGUAUUUCUUUUUUUUUGUCUUUGCCUAGGAUGUUGUAGUCGAAUUGUAUAGGUAAUGGCAAAUUUCCGUGAGUUGAUUUUUAAUUUUUGAAAAUCCAGUUGAUAUUGUGAGCAAAUGAGACAAUUAUUUUCAAUAGUCUUAGGAGAUGGCCUUGUGCUGGAGAUGGGAUUUUGAUAGCCUUAAGAGAUGGUCUUGUGCUGGAG